GGUUCCAUGGUGUAACGGUUAACACGUCUGCUUUACAUGCAGAAAGUCCUGUGUUCGCGCCCCAGUGGAGCCA
Pteropus alecto (black flying fox) is the source of this 73-nucleotide non-coding RNA. NCBI's taxonomy places the organism in Eukaryota, Metazoa, Chordata, Mammalia, Chiroptera, Pteropodidae. The record is from Rfam.